UACGGGGGGAGCAAGCGUUGUUCGGAUUCACUGGGCGUAAAGGGUGCGUAGGUGGUCGGGUAAGUCUGAGGUGAAAUCUCCGAGCCCAACUCGGAAACUGCCUUGGAUACUAUUCGGCUAGAGGGUUGGAGGGGGGACUGGAAUUCUCGGUGUAGCAGUGAAAUGCGUAGAUAUCGAGAGGAACACCAGUGGCGAAGGCGAGUCCCUGGACAACUCCUGACACUGAGGCACGAAAGCUAGGGGAGCAAACAGG
Molecule: ribosomal RNA, 253 nt
Filed under: uncultured bacterium
Lineage: Bacteria
Description: partial 16S ribosomal RNA
Rfam family: Bacterial small subunit ribosomal RNA
Source: RNAcentral